CCUACGGGAUGCAGCAGUGAGGAAUAUUGGUCAAUGGGCGCGAGCCUGAACCAGCCAAGUAGCGUGAGGGAUGAAGGUUCUAUGGAUCGUAAACCUCUUUUAUAAGGGAAUAAAGUGUGGGACGUGUCCUGUUUUGUAUGUACCUUAUGAAUAAGGAUCGGCUAACUCCGUGCCAGCAGCCGCGGUAAUACGGAGGAUCCGAGCGUUCUCCGGAUUUAUUGGGUUUAAAGGGUGCGUAGGCGGCCUUUUAAGUCAGCGGUGAAAGUCUGUGGCUCAACCAUAGAAUUGCCGUUGAAACUGGGAGGCUUGAGUAUGUUUGAGGCAGGCGGAAUGCGUGGUGUAGCGGUGAAAUGCUUAGAUAGCACGCAGAACCCCGAUUGCGAAGGCAGCCUGCCAAGCCAUGACUGACGCUGAUGCACGAAAGCGUGGGGAUCAAACAGGAUUAGAUACCCGAGUAGUC
This 460-nucleotide ribosomal RNA is filed under the name uncultured bacterium. Its description in RNAcentral is "partial 16S ribosomal RNA". It matches the Rfam family "Bacterial small subunit ribosomal RNA", at positions 338 to 795 of the family's 1533-position model. The record is from RNAcentral.